GACGAACGCUGGCGGCGUGCCUAAUACAUGCAAGUUGAGCGCUGAAGGUUGGUCCUUGUACCAACUGGAUGAGCAGCGAACGGGUGAGUAACGCGUGGGGAAUCUGCCUUUGAGCGGGGGACAACAUUUGGAAACGAAUGCUAAUACCGCAUAAAAACUUUAAACACAAGUUUUAAGUUUGAAAGAUGCAAUUGCAUCACUCAAAGAUGAUCCCGCGUUGUAUUAGCUAGUCGGUGAGGUAAAGGCUCACCAAGGCGAUGAUACAUAGCCGACCUGAGAGGGUGAUCGGCCACAUUGGGACUGAGACACGGCCCAAACUCCUACGGGAGGCAGCAGUAGGGAAUCUUCGGCAAUAGACGAAAGUCUGACCGAGCAACGCCGCGUGAGUGAAGAAGGUUGUCGGAUCGUAAAACUCUGUUGGUAGAGAAGAACGUUGGUGAGAGUGGAAAGCUCAUCAAGUGACGGUAACUACCCAGAAAGGGACGGCUAACUACGUG
This 497-nucleotide ribosomal RNA is filed under the name uncultured bacterium. RNAcentral's name for it is "partial 16S ribosomal RNA". It matches the Rfam family "Bacterial small subunit ribosomal RNA", at positions 28 to 507 of the family's 1533-position model. The record is from RNAcentral.